AUGGAUUGGAAGCAACAUUUAGAUGCCUGAUUAGAUCUAGAAGCUCGCUACUCAAUGUUUUCUCCUGCUAAUCUGGCAGUUGUUAUUCUAUACACUGUAAAUUAUAUAUACACAUUUUUGUAGUUAUGUUAGAAAUAUACAAUCUUCAAGCGAUUGAUUAUACAUCAAUGUCAUGUCUCUUUCUCUCUAUAUGUAUUAUAUAUGGAGCGUACAUGAAUACUGCCAUAAACUGUGCAGUAGGACUAUAAUUCAAAUACCUGAAUGGAGUCCAAAUUUUAACAGGUUAUGCCUAUGACUUUCAGCAUUGUCUAAAUCUUAUGUCAGGUUAAGUUUUAUCCUGAAAAUAACUCAAAAUAUCAUUGAAAUGAUUCUCCUUAAACUAGAGGAGAAGCAGAUAAAACUAAUAGCAGAUCCUUUACAUACUUCCAUUGCAUAAUUAUUGAAAUGAUCAAACCAAGGAGCGAAAGAGAAAAUUCUAUGACUCCUGAACCAAUAUUAAAGUGUAAGAAGCCACUUAUCUACAUUUGGAAAAAAGUACUUCUUCCUUAUUCUUCUUAUCCAUCAUUCUUACACAACUAUAAUUUAUUAGAUAAAACUGUGAAUGAUAUCUUUUUCUAUUUGGUUCAUAAUCAACUAGCUAUGGGGCCACCACAGGUUUUCUGAAUUUGUUCUUACAAUUAUUGGAAGUAUUAGACCUAAAUCCUAAUCAAGAAGGUUUCUUAAAACUGUAGACAAAAUUCUUUUUGGACAGAGCAGGUUCGUGAAGGUAAACGGUAAGCAAAAGUUUUUAAUUCUUGUUUGUGAAUGUAAGUAGAAGCGGAUGAUUUAAUAAAAAUCUUUAAGUUUCCACAUAUGAGAUACAUUAUAAUAGUUCUACAUGUGAGAUAACACUCAAUUUUUGAUGUAUUACAUUUUCUUAGUGCCAACAGUAGACUGCAUUUUGAGAGUUGACUUCAAACAUUAAAAAGAACUUGAAAUGCAUAACUUGAUAGCUAGUCGUAUUAUGUUUAUCCGCUAACUUGAUCACGCUAUUUCAUUUUUUGACUGGAUCAUCACAUUUACCUAUUUAUACUACAGUAUAAACUAUUUACCACGUAGAGAGGUUAUAAAUUAAUUACAUUAUCAUAUUUAUAUACAAAAUAAUGUAUUAGAAUCUUACCCAUUUUCUCUCCUUCUUCUUCUUCUUCUUUCUCCAAAUUCAAACCUCUUCAAAUUCAUUGACGAUCCAUAAAAUUCUUUCACCAUCAACUCUGCACCAGUCAGUUUCACUCAGCAUCUAAUUUCUCUAAAAAAACAUAGCAAUAACAAAAAAUAAAAAGCAACAAAGUUUGAAGGAAAAGAAUGAAUGAACAGACCUGCGAAAGAAAUAAACCUCUUAACGGAUUGAAAGGACUCUGGUAAACCCACCGAUGUUAUAGAGAAGAAUUUGACAACUAAUAAAAAUCUUCGUUGACAGCCACUAAAUAUUUUGAGAGAAUUUGGUGAAGAUCCGGUUGGUUUUUG
RNAcentral lists this long non-coding RNA (1503 nucleotides) under Nicotiana tabacum (common tobacco). RNAcentral's name for it is "long non-coding RNA (NTAB_LNC005612)". Lineage: Eukaryota; Viridiplantae; Streptophyta; Magnoliopsida; Solanales; Solanaceae. The record is from RNAcentral.